UGGCUCAGAACGAACGCUGGCGGCGUGGCUAAGACAUGCAAGUCGCACGGACCCGCAAGGGUUAGUGGCGAACGGGUGAGUAAUGAAUCGCUAACGUACCCCGGACUCUGAGAUAGCUGCCCGAAAGGGCAGGUAAUACCAGAUGAUAUAACCGACAGGCAUCUGUUGGUUCUCAAAGGUCCGCCGGUCUGGGAGCGGGCGAUUUCGUAUCAGCUUGUUGGUGAGGUAACGGCUCACCAAGGCGGGGAAGAGUAGCCGGACUGAGAGGUUGGCCGACCACAUCGGGAUUUCCUCACUGCCCAGAACUACGGGAGGCU
Molecule: ribosomal RNA, 317 nt
Filed under: uncultured bacterium
Lineage: Bacteria
Description: bacterial SSU rRNA
Rfam family: Bacterial small subunit ribosomal RNA
Source: RNAcentral